This is a long non-coding RNA of Helianthus annuus (common sunflower), 376 nucleotides long. RefSeq lists it as uncharacterized. Lineage: Eukaryota; Viridiplantae; Streptophyta; Magnoliopsida; Asterales; Asteraceae. The transcript is spliced from 3 exons. The record is from RefSeq and is a predicted model, not a curated record.
GAGCCAAGCCCUAAACACAACAAAUUCUUCAAAUUGGAGGGGCAAUUGAAGGCCAAAUUUGGAAUUGAAUACAUAGAAACGAUCACCAAGUCAAGGGGAUCGUAAGUUUGACGCGUAACAAGCUAGGUGAGAGCUUGGAGGGAGGAGUGGGUCAAACGGAGCAAGUACGGAAAGAAAAGUGUGGCGUGGAUGCGAGGACCAAUUAGCAAAUUGGAUAAUUACGUCACCAUUGAUGGUGUGAUAAUGAAAACGAGGUAUAAAUCGGGUCUACUUACUGGUCCGGUCCAGGUACGCAUAAUCAUGUUGUAGUUAAGAAUGCUAUUUUGGUCGAAUAAUUUGAGAGAGAGUCCUUCGUCUUAAAAAGGACCAAAAUCGA